MicroRNA precursor from Equus caballus (horse), 115 nucleotides. The record is from Ensembl. NCBI's taxonomy places the organism in Eukaryota, Metazoa, Chordata, Mammalia, Perissodactyla, Equidae.
GCUGGGAGCAAGGAGCUGGCUCCCAUCACAAUUCCCACGGACUCCAGAUACGGGAGACCUUCUGGAGGGCGGUUCGUGUACUGAGUCUCCCUGAUUGGUGAGCCAUUUCCCUUCC